Molecule: ribosomal RNA, 368 nt
Filed under: uncultured organism
Description: bacterial SSU rRNA
Rfam family: Bacterial small subunit ribosomal RNA
Source: RNAcentral
CGGAGGGUGCAAGCGUUAUCCGGAUUCACUGGGUUUAAAGGGUGCGUAGGUGGGUUGGUAAGUCAGUGGUGAAAUCUCCGUGCUUAACAUGGAAACUGCCAUUGAUACUACUGAUCUUGAAUUUUCUGGAGGUAAGCGGAAUAUGUCAUGUAGCGGUGAAAUGCUUAGAUAUGACAUAGAACACCAAUUGCGAAGGCAGCUUGCUACAGGGAUAUUGACACUGAGGCACGAAAGCGUGGGGAUCAAACAGGAUUAGAUACCCUGGUAGUCCACGCCCUAAACGAUGGAUACUCGACAUUUGCGAUACACAGUAAGUGUCUGAGCGGAAGCAUUAAGUAUCCCACCUGGGAAGUACGACCGCAAGGUUG